This is a non-coding RNA of Leopardus geoffroyi (Geoffroy's cat), 975 nucleotides long. Lineage: Eukaryota; Metazoa; Chordata; Mammalia; Carnivora; Felidae. The record is from the annotation of a RefSeq genome assembly.
AUGAAUAAGAUGGAAAGACAGAGAGGGAUUUCUGUAAAAGGUUUUCAGACAGUGGGCUAUUAUGGAUGGGGGAUUUACAAAAAAAAAAAUCCUCCUCCCAAACCUGAGAUCUGGAUUACAGAUGAACGUCCUGUUGAGAACAUUUCCCCAAAGCCUACAAUUUUUCUUCCUUCAAUUGCUGAAAGAAAACUCCAUAAGACUGGAACAUAUCUUUGUCUUCUUGAGGAUUUUUUCCCUGGUGUUAUCGAGAUAUAUUGGAAAGAAAAGAAUGGCAAAACAAUUCUGGAAUCCCAGCAGGGAAACACCAUGAAAACUAAGGACACAUAUAUGAAAUACACCUGGCUGACCGUGAGUGAAGAGUCAAUGGGUAAAGAACACAAAUGUGUUGUCAAACAUGAUAGUAAUAAAGGAGGGGUUGAUCAAGAGAUUCUUUUUCCUUCAAUAGACAAAGAUUUGGUGUCGGUGAUGGGAUCUGAAAUGGACUUCCAGGGGCAAUCAGAGACAAGGGGACAGCCAGGGGAGGUAACUGUGAGCCCCUUGAGUUCACUGUCCUCCUCACCAUUUUCAAGGGCUGUAGAUCUCACUGCUAUUCACUCUACAGAAGCUUCUCUGAAGGGUGAAAAUGAUGCCCUGCAUCUGCAUCUCGUGAACAACUCUGCUUACUAUACCUACCUCCUGCUCCUCCUCAAAAGCAUGGUCUAUUCUGCCAUUAUCACUGUCAAUCUGCUUGGGAAACCCACACUCUUUGGUAAUGGGAAGAGUUCCUAACACAUGGUGGCACAAAAAGGUCCACAUUUUUCCAUUGGCUGUUAUCCUUAAAAGCCAGUAGGCACCUUCCAGUCAUGUCCCCUGGGGCUCUUUAACAAGAUGACUUCCUUGAAGCCUUUUAAUUUACACACCCUGAGGCCUCUAUCUUUGUUAAUGAAUUCUGUACUGUUUUUCAUAAAAAGAACAAGUAAAAUAAUCAAGACUCUA